Cynocephalus volans (Philippine flying lemur) is the source of this 1421-nucleotide long non-coding RNA. RefSeq lists it as uncharacterized. Lineage: Eukaryota; Metazoa; Chordata; Mammalia; Dermoptera; Cynocephalidae. The transcript is spliced from 6 exons. The record is from RefSeq and is a predicted model, not a curated record.
CACAGCGAGAAUCCUGGCCCUGGCCCCUUCGCUCCCUGUCAAGCAUCAGAGCCUGUUCAUUGGCUCUAACUUGGCAGGGGGCGGGGCCUCCCAGAGCAGCUGUCCGUCUUGAGCGGAGCCAGGCCCCACCCCGUCGCGCCUGCGCAGUGCGUCCGUUGGCGCCAGGAGCCUGGGCUGUAGAGCAGUUGCAGUUCGGCAGGAACGCUGCUGUGCAGCGGCGAGUCCUGGGAACAGCAGCAGGAGCAGGCGGCGGCGGCGGCGGAGCAGACGCGGGGACGGCGGCGCGCUUGGGGGUCUGCGGACGGCGGUCUCGAUGGCGGGCAGGGGUGAAAAGAAGUUAGAAGAAGAAAUCAACUAUUUUGCCCAAGCAUUUUGUUCAAUUUGGAAGACAUGACAUUGAGAAAAGAAUGGGGACUGUGGAGUUAGAAGUGGAGUCACUAUGGCCUUUGAGGUUUCCCCGGAGGCAUCUGGAUCCACCUGUGAGAAGCCCCCUUCCCCCUGCAGCCUCAGGAUGCCAGUGGCUUCCCCCGUCUCCCGGGUGAGAUGUCCUUGGUGAGUGGAUAUUGAAAGGAAAAACCCGGCCCAAACACAGAAUGAGAAACACACCAGCAGACAAAGGCUCAACCCUGACGUAUUAAGAAGGCAAGAUGGACAGGUGGGCUGCUCUCUCGAAAGUGGGAGCAGCAGCAGGGAGAGUUGGAGUGGGCCCUUUAUAUCCCGUUAAGGAACACCCCAGAAACACAGGAAGCAGCAGCAAGAGAUGGCGUGUCCUCCCAGAGUGGAGACUGCUGCCCAUGCUGAGAGUGGAAAGUGGAACAUGCCUGGAGGGGUGACCCUCCUCAUGGGGACUUCUCAGUGUUGGUGGAGCUUCCUCUCCAGAGCAGCUCCAUGGCCUGUCUGGGGGUUGACUUUAGCAAUAAGAGCAGCAGCCCAUGCCGCUGACCAUCUGGGAGGGUAGGGAGUCCCCGUGACAGACCUUUCAAGUCCUUCUCCCCCAAUGACACCUCCAGGGCCCCUCCAGUCCCCACCCCAGUCUCUCUCUUCAGUAGCUUGCUCUGGGGACAGGUCAGAGGAAGUUUCUCCUGGUGUCUGGGGCUUGUGUAACAGGCAUCUGGGAACAGGAAGCUUAUGGGAAAGGAAGAACACAGGUGGUCCAGCUCUCUCAGAAGGGGCCUGGGUGUGAAUUCCUGUUCUACUACUUACUACCUAUGUCAUCUCUGAAAGGCUACUCAUCCCUCAUAGGCUUCAGUUGAUCUUUAAAAAGAAACUAAAAAGGGAGGACCGCUGCUGCUGGCCGGUCGUGGGGGGUGACCGCCACUUUGCCCCCGGCAGGAGAGGCUGCCUCACUUACAGGCAACAGCUUUGAAGUGUGGAGCAGGAAAAGAACUGUUUCUUAGCUGCCAAAGCGAGUCUCGAAACAG